AGUGAACGCUGGCGGUAGGCCUAACACAUGCAAGUCGAACGGCAGCACAGAGGAGCUUGCUCCUUGGGUGGCGAGUGGCGGACGGGUGAGGAAUACAUCGGAAUCUACUCCGUCGUGGGGGAUAACGUAGGGAAACUUACGCUAAUACCGCAUACGACCUACGGGUGAAAGCAGGGGAUCUUCGGACCUUGCGCGAUUGAAUGAGCCGAUGUCGGAUUAGCUAGUUGGCGGGGUAAAGGCCCACCAAGGCGACGAUCCGUAGCUAGUCUGGGAGGAUGAUCAGCCACACUGGAACUGAGACACGGUCCAGACUCCUACGGGAGGCAGCAGUGGGGAAUAUUGGACAAUGGGCGCAAGCCUGAUCCAGCCAUACCGCGUGGGUGAAGAAGGCCUUCGGGUUGUAAAGCCCUUUUGUUGGGAAAGAAAUCCAUCUGGUUAAUACCCGGGUGGGAUGACGGUACCCAAAGAAUAAGCACCGGCUAACUUCGUGCCAGCCGCCGCCGUAA
This 506-nucleotide ribosomal RNA is filed under the name uncultured bacterium. RNAcentral's name for it is "partial 16S ribosomal RNA". It matches the Rfam family "Bacterial small subunit ribosomal RNA", at positions 29 to 523 of the family's 1533-position model. The record is from RNAcentral.